AUGCUAAGAGAUCCCAAGCGUGAAACUCGCAAAAGCAAGACACCAAUUUGAUUAUUAUAUGCAAAAAAUAAAUUUAUUUAAUAAACAAAACAAUAUAAUAUUAUAUUAUACGAUGUGUUUCUAAUAUAGUAAUAUCAUAAAAAACAUUGAUAACAAUAUUCACUGAGAAUAUAAUAAUCAUAAUAUUAUGCUACGAUAAUAUACAGCUGAUUACCAGAUGAAACUAUUAUUUUUUUUUUUUGCUGCAUGUGAUGAGAUUAUUCUAAUGAUUAUGGUUGUAGAUAACGACGAAGGUAAACACGUCGUGUUGUAGAUAUAUGUAUAAUAAAUAAUAUCUUAACCCAUGAUGUUUAUACCGUAUUUAUGAUUAGAUAAUAUAAUAUGAAAAUAUAAUAUUAUGUACUUUCUAUCAAAUAAAAACGUAAUUAAUUGGUGUUAGGAAUUCAAUACUUCUGUCAAAUCGUAAGAUCAAACACUAACUGAAUCAAAUAACGCAGACUAUAAUUAUUACUAUUCUUAAUGAUCCGAGAUGCGAAUAAUAGCUAAAGUCAUAAUUUUGAAUAUAUUGGUUUGUAAAUUCAUUCCUUUGACAAGUUAUGGGAAGACCACGAACAUCAUUUUUAAUAAGAUCAUAAGCUGUGUUAAAUGUAGCCUCGUAACUGGGCAAACGUUUCUGCUUCUCUACAAUAUAUAAAU
This is a long non-coding RNA of Acyrthosiphon pisum (pea aphid), 696 nucleotides long. RefSeq lists it as uncharacterized. The transcript is spliced from 2 exons. The record is from RefSeq and is a predicted model, not a curated record. Lineage: Eukaryota; Metazoa; Arthropoda; Insecta; Hemiptera; Aphididae.